CGCGUGAUACGCGGCGAGUGGUCCGAUUCUGACAUUCGCCUCCCGUUUCGGGCAGGUCACCUCGCGAAUGUCAGAAUCGAAGGACCACUCGUAACUAUUAGCUUCUAGUGGAGUUCAGGAUUUGACAUUCGCGAUGCAAACUUGCGGCCGGGUGGGUCGCGAAUGUCAAAUCCACUCCACUAAAAACGCAUCCGUGAACAGCCUCACCGCGAAGUGAGUAGCGAGCUACCAGGGGGCGGCCUAUCAAGGGGCCGCCUUCUUGGUGAGGAGGCAUCAUGCAUCGUGGGGGCAGACGGGAUGUCUGAUUUGCCAGUUUCGAAACCGACAGCAGCCGGUGCAAUCGCUUCGCGG
RNAcentral lists this unclassified non-coding RNA (351 nucleotides) under Hevea brasiliensis (rubber tree). The record is from RNAcentral. Lineage: Eukaryota; Viridiplantae; Streptophyta; Magnoliopsida; Malpighiales; Euphorbiaceae.